GAUGAACGCUGGCGGCGUGCCUAAUACAUGCAAGUCGAGCGAACAGACGAGGAGCUUGCUCCUUUGACGUUAGCGGCGGACGGGUGAGUAACACGUAGGUAACCUACCUAUAAGACUGGGAUAACUUCGGGAAACCGGAGCUAAUACCGGACAAUAUUUCGAACCGCAUGGUUCGAUAGUGAAAGAUGGCUUUGCUAUCACUUAUAGAUGGACCUGCGCCGUAUUAGCUAGUUGGUAAGGUAACGGCUUACCAAGGCAACGAUGCGUAGCCGACCUGAGAGGGUGAUCGGCCACACUGGAACUGAGACACGGUCCAGACUCCUACGGGAGGCAGCAGUAGGGAAUCUUCCGCAAUGGGCGAAAGCCUGACGGAGCAACGCCGCGUGGGUGAUGAAGGUCUUCGGAUCGUAAAACUCUGUUAUUAGGGAAGAACAAACGUGUAAGUAACUGUGCACGUCUUGACGGUACCUAAUCAGAAAGCCACGGCUAACUACGUG
This 497-nucleotide ribosomal RNA is filed under the name uncultured bacterium. RNAcentral describes it as "partial 16S ribosomal RNA". It matches the Rfam family "Bacterial small subunit ribosomal RNA", at positions 28 to 507 of the family's 1533-position model. The record is from RNAcentral.